This 382-nucleotide ribosomal RNA is filed under the name uncultured archaeon. RNAcentral describes it as "bacterial SSU rRNA". It matches the Rfam family "Archaeal small subunit ribosomal RNA", at positions 345 to 727 of the family's 1478-position model. The record is from RNAcentral.
AAACUUUACAAUGCUGGAAACAGCGAUAGGGGGACUUUGAGUGCCAGGAUACAAUUCUGGCUGUCGUGAUGCCUAAAAAGCAUUGCAUAGCAAGGGCCGGGCAAGACCGGUGCCAGCCGCCGCGGUAACACCGGCGGCUCGAGUGGUAACCGCUAUUAUUGGGUCUAAAGGGUCUGUAGCCGGCUGAAAAAGUCUCUUGGGAAAUCCGACAGCUCAACUGUCGGGCUUCCAGGGGAUACUCUUCGGCUCGAGACCGGGAGAGGUGAGAGGUACUUCAUGGGUAGGGGUGAAAUCUUGUAAUCCUUGAAGGACCACCAGUGGCGAAGGCGUCUCACCAGAACGGACCUGACGGCAAGGGACGAAAGCUAGGGGCACGAACCGG